This 468-nucleotide ribosomal RNA is filed under the name uncultured bacterium. RNAcentral describes it as "partial 16S ribosomal RNA". It matches the Rfam family "Bacterial small subunit ribosomal RNA", at positions 28 to 507 of the family's 1533-position model. The record is from RNAcentral.
GACGAACGCUGGCGGCGUGCUUAACACAUGCAAGUCGAACGGAAAGGCCCUGCUUUUGUGGGGUGCUCGAGUGGCGAACGGGUGAGUAACACGUGAGUAACCUGCCCUUGACUUUGGGAUAACUUCAGGAAACUGGGGCUAAUACCGGAUAGGAGCUCCUGCUGCAUGGUGGGGGUUGGAAAGUUUCGGCGGUUGGGGAUGGACUCGCGGCUUAUCAGCUUGUUGGUGGGGUAGUGGCUUACCAAGGCUUUGACGGGUAGCCGGCCUGAGAGGGUGACCGGCCACAUUGGGACUGAGAUACGGCCCAGACUCCUACGGGAGGGAGCAGGGGGGAAUAUUGCACAAGGGGCGGAAGCCUGAUGCAGCAACGCCGCGUGCGGGAUGACGGCCUUCGGGUUGUAAACCGCUUUCGCCUGUGACGAAGCGUGAGUGACGGUAAUGGGUAAAGAAGCACCGGCUAACUACGUG